Molecule: ribosomal RNA, 493 nt
Filed under: uncultured bacterium
Lineage: Bacteria
Description: partial 16S ribosomal RNA
Rfam family: Bacterial small subunit ribosomal RNA
Source: RNAcentral
AUUGAACGCUGGCGGCAUGCCCUACACAUGCAAGUCGAACGGUAACAGGUUAAGCUGACGAGUGGCGAACGGGUGAGUAAUAUAUCGGAACGUGCCCAGUCGUGGGGGAUAACGUAGCGAAAGCUACGCUAAUACCGCAUACGAUCUACGUAUGAAAGCGGGGGAUCGAAAGACCUCGGGCGAUUGGAGCGGCCGAGAUCCGAUUAGGUUGUUGGUGAGGUAAAAGAUCACCAAGACUGCGAUCUGUAGCUGGUAUGAGAGGACGACCAGCCACCAUGGAACUUAGAUACGGUCCAGACUCCUACGGGAGGCAGCAGUGGGGAAUUUUGGACAAUGGACGCAAGUCUGAUCCAGCAAUGCCGCGUGCAGGACGAAGGCCUUCGGGUUGUAAACUGCUUUUGUACGGAACGAAACGGUGAGCUCUAAUACAGUUUGCUAAUGACGGUACCGUAAGAAUAAGCACCGGCUAACUACGUGCCAGCCGCCGCCGUAA